AGAGUUUGAUUAUGGCUCAGGAUGAACGCUGGCGGCGUGCUUAACACAUGCAAGUCGAACGGGGUACCCUUGACAGAGGCUUCGGCCAAUUGAUAGGAAUACCUAGUGGCGGACGGGUGAGUAACGCGUGAGGAACCUGCCUUGGAGUGGGGAAUAACAGUUAGAAAUAGCUGCUAAUACCGCAUAAUGCAACUAAGUCGCAUGGCUUUGGUUGCCAAAGAUUUAUCGCUCUAAGAUGGCCUCGCGUCUGAUUAGAUAGUUGGCGGGGUAACGGCCCACCAAGUCGACGAUCAGUAGCCGGACUGAGAGGUUGGCCGGCCACAUUGGGACUGAGACACGGCCCAGACUCCUACGGGAGGCAGCAGUGGGGAAUAUUGGGCAAUGGGCGCAAGCCUGACCCAGCAACGCCGCGUGAAGGAAGAAGGCCCUCGGGUUGUAAACUUCUUUUAUUCGGGACGAAACAAAUGACGGUACCGAAUGAAUAAGCCACGGCUAACUACGUGCCAGCAGCCGCGGUAAUACGUAGGUGGCAAGCGUUAUCCGGAUUUACUGGGUGUAAAGGGCGUGUAGGCGGGAGAGCCAGUCAGACGUGAAAUUCCAGGGCUCAACCCUGG
Molecule: ribosomal RNA, 614 nt
Filed under: uncultured bacterium
Lineage: Bacteria
Description: bacterial SSU rRNA
Rfam family: Bacterial small subunit ribosomal RNA
Source: RNAcentral